UUAAAAUUAUCAUUAUUUCGUUAUUUUAACAAUCUCUCAGGUCAUUAUAUUAUGGUAAAUUUAAGAACACAAAGUCUUUGAAAACCUCAUACACAUUUUGACAAUUUAUGGCUCAGUCAACUAUCUUCAUUGUUCACAAGAUAAUGAAAUUCUUAAUUUGGCAAUAUUUACAAUGUAAAAAUUACCGACAUCGAAAUGAGUUUUCUCAACCGUUCUUGUUUAUACACUGUCCUCCAUUUUGUUUUUCAUCUGGUUGCGUAAAUGUUGCAACGCGGGAAAAGUUUUUUAAAUUUUCCUAUCUAAAAAGUGUUAAAAAAACAUUAAAAACUAUGUCAAUAAGUAGCGCAGACUGGGAAGAAUAUACAUACAGUGAUUGUUGCAAAUAAAGUUCAGUUCGCUCUUCGAUCGUAGCAGAGCAGAUAGCAGUUAUUAUCAACACAAGGUUCGCUGAUGAAAAAGAUGUAUAUAUAAAAAAUGUUGUGGAUGGAUUCGUCACUUCCUCGACAGACGCUAACCAUACUUCGAAAAGUGCUUUUACAUUUCAGGAGUCCAGAAACCUAAUCGAACAAAAUCACAUCCAGCUUUCAACUGCAGUGCAUGCUCAUAUUCAUUUAAUAUUAUGUCAUAUAACUACAAAAAGUUAAAUAAAACUGUUAUCUAUGUUAUAUUUGCAAAGAAACAAUAUAAUUAUCUCUAAAUACCAUAACGAUUUUACCAUGCUACAACACAAUCAAGAUAACCGUUUUUCUAGUAUAUUUAACGGAUUCAUAGUAGAUUUAUUAGUAGAGGCACCAACCUCGCAAAACCCUUGCCAUAAUGGUAAAAUAUACAAUUCUUGUUCUCAUAUCAAUAAUGAAAUCACUUCGGUUGAAAAACGUUGGUGCAAGUCUGUCAAUUCUAACCCCGAUUGUAGUAAUUUCCACCAUCAACCUU
RNAcentral lists this long non-coding RNA (933 nucleotides) under Aedes aegypti (yellow fever mosquito). Its description in RNAcentral is "lncRNA AAEL022761". Lineage: Eukaryota; Metazoa; Arthropoda; Insecta; Diptera; Culicidae. The record is from RNAcentral.